This 468-nucleotide ribosomal RNA is filed under the name uncultured bacterium. RNAcentral describes it as "partial 16S ribosomal RNA". It matches the Rfam family "Bacterial small subunit ribosomal RNA", at positions 28 to 507 of the family's 1533-position model. The record is from RNAcentral.
GACGAACGCUGGCGGCGUGCUUAACACAUGCCAGUCGAACGGAAAGGCCCUGCUUUUGUGGGGUGCUCGAGUGGCGAACGGGUGAGUAACACGUGAGUAACCUGCCCUUGACUUUGGGAUAACUUCAGGAAACUGGGGCUAAUACCGGAUAGGAGCUCCUGCUGCAUGGUGGGGGUUGGAAAUUUUCGGCGGUUGGGGAUGGACGCGCGGCUUAUCAGCUUGUUGGUGGGGUAGGGGCUUACCAAGGCUUUGACGGGUAGCCGGCCUGAGAGGGUGACCGGCCACAUUGGGACUGAGAUACGGCCCAGACUCCUACGGGAGGCAGCAGUGGGAAAUAUUGCACAAUGGGCGGAAGCCUGAUGCAGCAACGCCGCGUGCGGGAUGACGGCCUUCGGGUUGUAAACCGCUUUCGCCUGUGACGAAGCGUGAGUGACGGUAAUGGGUAAAGAAGCACCGGCUAACUACGUG